This 107-nucleotide small nucleolar RNA is filed under the name Olea europaea subsp. europaea. RNAcentral's name for it is "Plant small nucleolar RNA R71". It matches the Rfam family "Plant small nucleolar RNA R71". Rfam says of the family: R71 is a member of the C/D box family of snoRNAs containing the C (UGAUGA) and D (CUGA) box motifs. The record is from Rfam by way of RNAcentral. Lineage: Eukaryota; Viridiplantae; Streptophyta; Magnoliopsida; Lamiales; Oleaceae.
AAUCCGUGUUGUAGGCAUUGGUGGAGUAAACCUUUAUAUCAUUCCCAAGCCUCUGAAUAGCAUUCUGAGUCUAGUUGUUGGAAAGUAGUAAUCUUGUUCCUUAGUUU